UACGAAGGAUGCAAGCGUUAUCCGGAUUCAUUGGGUUUAAAGGGUGCGUAGGCGGACCUGUAAGUCAGUGGUGAAAUCUCUUUGCUUAACAAAGAAACUGCCAUUGAUACUGCAAGUCUAGAGUAUAGAUGACGUUGGCGGAAUAUGACAUGUAGUGGUGAAAUACUUAGAUAUGUCGUAGAACACCGAUUGCGAAGGCAGCUAGCGAGACUAUAACUGACGCUGAGGCACGAAAGUGCGGGGAUCAAACAGG
This 253-nucleotide ribosomal RNA is filed under the name uncultured bacterium. Its description in RNAcentral is "partial 16S ribosomal RNA". It matches the Rfam family "Bacterial small subunit ribosomal RNA", at positions 524 to 776 of the family's 1533-position model. The record is from RNAcentral.